This 74-nucleotide transfer RNA is filed under the name Nitrososphaeria archaeon. RNAcentral describes it as "tRNA-Gly". It matches the Rfam family "tRNA". Rfam says of the family: Transfer RNA (tRNA) molecules are approximately 80 nucleotides in length. Their secondary structure includes four short double-helical elements and three loops (D, anti-codon, and T loops). Lineage: Archaea; Thermoproteati; Nitrososphaerota; Nitrososphaeria. The record is from RNAcentral.
GCGGCCGUAGUCUAGUCUGGUAGGACGUGGGGGCCCCGGCCCCAAGGUCCCGGGUUCAAAUCCCGGCGGCCGCA